UACCAAGCGCAACCCUUUGUCCUAAGUUACCAGCACGUUAUGGUGGGCACUCUAAGGAGACUGCCGGUGACAUACGGAGGAGGGUGGGGAUGAGGUCAAGUCAUCAUGGCCCUUACGGCCUGGGCUACACACGUGCUACAAUGGUCGGUAAGAGGGUUGCCAAGCCGCGAGGUGGAGCUAAUCUCACAAAACCGAUCGUAGUCCGGAUCGCAGUCUGCAACUCGACUGCGUGAAGUCGGAAUCGCUAGUAAUCGCGAAUCAGAAUGUCGCGGUGAAUACGUUCCCGGGCCUUGAC
This 295-nucleotide ribosomal RNA is filed under the name uncultured bacterium. RNAcentral describes it as "partial 16S ribosomal RNA". It matches the Rfam family "Bacterial small subunit ribosomal RNA", at positions 1090 to 1383 of the family's 1533-position model. The record is from RNAcentral.